GAUCCUGGCUCAGGAUGAACGCUGGCGGCGUGCUUAACACAUGCAAGUCGAACGAUUGAAGCUGGAGCUUGCUCCGGCCGAUGUAGUGGCGGAUGGGUGAGUAACGCGUGGGUAACCUGCCUCAUACAGGGGGAUAGCAGUUGGAAACGACUGGUAAAACCGCAUAAGCGCACGGUAUCGCAUGAUACAGUGUGAAAACACUCCGGUGGUAUGAGAUGGACCCGCGU
This 227-nucleotide ribosomal RNA is filed under the name uncultured bacterium. RNAcentral's name for it is "partial 16S ribosomal RNA". It matches the Rfam family "Bacterial small subunit ribosomal RNA", at positions 15 to 236 of the family's 1533-position model. The record is from RNAcentral.